This 1167-nucleotide long non-coding RNA is filed under the name Ananas comosus (pineapple). RNAcentral's name for it is "long non-coding RNA (ACOM_LNC032310)". The record is from RNAcentral. Lineage: Eukaryota; Viridiplantae; Streptophyta; Magnoliopsida; Poales; Bromeliaceae.
UGGUGAAUUAUAAAUUUAGUUAAUUAUAUUUGAAGUCCAUAUUUAAUAAAUAAAAUUAGUAUUAUGAAAAUCAAACUGAACCGGCCUGUCGAAUUAGAGAAAGUCUACAUUGCAAUAUUUACGCCACUUCAUUUAUACCGAGCUAAUUACAUUUAUCCAUUUGGGAGCAAAAUAUAAUAAAAAUAUUUUUCUGAUAAUUAUGAUGGGAUGGGUGAAUUCAAGAAAAAGAAUCUGAUUAGUUGGAAAAGCUGCAUCAGCAAUAUAACUAGUACAUUCUAGACUUUUUUGUAUUGUAACUCCGCGUGACAAGUCCAAACAUUGAUUUAUCUGUAACCAUUUUAUCUUUGCAUAGAUCAACUGUUUUAUUCCAAAUAGGAUUUUUUUUUUUGAAUUAUUUCAUAGAUAACCUUUUAGGGAUAUAUAAUUUUAUCAAUAUUCCUUUGAAAUACCCUUUUAGGGAUGUAUGGUGCUAGGCUAGCACUGCCCACAUUCAUAGGAGCCAAAUUGGCGCAUAUCUCAGUAUGUGCCGUGUCUGUGCCGGAUUCAUGCGAGUUGAUAAAUUUUUUACUUUUAUUAAGAUUUAUAAAAUUUUUAUUUUUAAAAAUUUAAAAAAUGGAAAUAUUUUUUAGUUUUUUUAACUGUAAGUUAGAUAUUAUGGUUACAAAAGUAAAUUUUUUUAAAUUUUAAAUUUAAUAUUUUUAAAAAAAUUUUAAAAUAAAAUUUAAAAAUAUUUGGGAAAAAAAUUAAAAAUAGGGAAAACUUCAAAAACCCUCCUUGUGGUUUCAAUUUUUUUCACUUUAAUACCUUGUGGUUUAAAAUGUAUCAAGUUAGUACCCUUUGGUUUCUUACUUUAUCACUUUAGUACCAUGUAGUUUAAAGUGUAUUAAGUUAGUACCCUGUGGUUUUAAUUUUGUAUUAAGUUAGCACUCUGCGGUUUUUUAAAUCACAGGGUACUAAAGUGAUAAAGUGUGACACCACAGGGUACUAAAGAAAUAAAGUGCAAAACCACAUAGUACUAACUUGAUACACUUUAAACCACAGGGUACUAAAGUGAUAGAGUGCAAAACCACAGGGUACUAACUUGAUAUACUUUAAACCACAGGUGCUUACUAAAAUGAAAAAGUGUGAAACCAUAGGGGGGUUUUUGAAGUUUUUCCUUAAAAAUAU